This 629-nucleotide ribosomal RNA is filed under the name uncultured bacterium. RNAcentral's name for it is "bacterial SSU rRNA". The stretch from base 1 to 541 matches the Rfam family "Bacterial small subunit ribosomal RNA", at positions 338 to 873 of the family's 1533-position model. The record is from RNAcentral.
CCUACGAGAGGCAGCAGUGGGGAAUUUUGGACAAUGGGCGAAAGCCUGAUCCAGCAAUGCCGCGUGAGUGAAGAAGGCCUUCGGGUUGUAAAGCUCUUUUGUCAGGGAAGAAACGGUGUUUUCUAAUACAGAAUGCUAAUGACGGUACCUGAAGAAUAAGCACCGGCUAACUACGUGCCAGCAGCCGCGGUAAUACGUAGGGUGCAAGCGUUAAUCGGAAUUACUGGGCGUAAAGCGUGCGCAGGCGGUUUUGUAAGUUUGUCGUGAAAGCCCCGGGCUCAACCUGGGAAUGGCGAUGAAGACUGCAAGGCUUGAAUCUGGCAGAGGGGGGUAGAAUUCCACGUGUAGCAGUGAAAUGCGUAGAGAUGUGGAGGAACACCGAUGGCGAAGGCAGCCCCCUGGGUCAAGAUUGACGCUCAUGCACGAAAGCGUGGGGAGCAAACAGGAUUAGAUACCCUGGUAGUCCACGCCCUAAACGAUGUCUACUAGUUGUCGGGUUUUAAUUAACUUGGUAACGCAGCUAACGCGUGAAGUGACCGCCUGGGGGAGGUACGGUCGUCGAGAGUUAAACGUUAACGUAAGAAGUUAGUACGGCGNGAGAGNGCGACGGACGACGACGAGGGAGGAGG